AUCAAUCCCAUGGGUUUUCUGACCUGUGUGGACUUGGAACUGGGCGUCUGCCUUCUAAGGCUCGCCUCAAAUGACUCAGUGGGAUCUCUGACCUACGCCUGACGUGAUAAGUUUCGUCUCGGCCGGUCUAGAGCCCUGCUCACAACGCCCCAUUUUUUGACAUUGACCUCAAAUCAGGUAGGGCUACCCGCUGAACUUAA
This 200-nucleotide unclassified non-coding RNA is filed under the name soil metagenome. Its description in RNAcentral is "partial contains internal transcribed spacer 2 and large subunit ribosomal RNA". The record is from RNAcentral.